Molecule: ribosomal RNA, 279 nt
Filed under: uncultured bacterium
Lineage: Bacteria
Description: partial 16S ribosomal RNA
Rfam family: Bacterial small subunit ribosomal RNA
Source: RNAcentral
UGCCAGCAGCCGCGGUAAUACGGAGGGGGUUAGCGUUGUUCGGAAUUACUGGGCGUAAAGCGCACGCAGGCGGCUUGUUAAGCGAGAUGUGAGAGCCCCGGGCUUAACCUGGGAACUGCAUUUCGAACUGACAAGCUAGAGUUUUGUAGAGGGUGGUAGAAUUUCAGGUGUAGCGGUGAAAUGCGUAGAGAUCUGAAGGAAUACCAGUGGCGAAGGCGGCCACCUGGACAAAAACUGACGCUCAUGUACGAAAGCGUGGGGAGCAAACAGGAUUAGAUA